CACCUCAAAGCUAGCCAAAACAAAUUUAUUACUCUCACCAUUAUUAAUUAACAUCCAUAGUUUUUCCCCAAAUUAAAACAUUUUUUACCUCCUAGUAUGGGCGACAGAACAGAACCUUUGAGCCAUAGAAACAGUACCGCAAGGGAAAACUGAAAAAGAAAUGAAAUAAAUCAUUAAAGUAACAGAAAGCAGAGACUAGUCCUCGUACCUUUUGCAUCAUGAUUUAGCAAGAACAACCAGACAAAGUGCCCUUUAGCCUGACUUCCCGAAACUAAACGAGCUACUUCGGAGCAGCACACCAGAGCCAACCCACCUCUGUGGCAAAAGAGGGGGAAGACUCCCAAGUAGCGGUGACAAACCUAUCGAGUUUAGUGAUAGCUGGUUAUCCAAAAAAAGAACCUAAAUUCUGCAUUAAUUCUUCAACUAAGCAAUUAAACCUAAAUACAAAGCUUCCUUGUAAAAAUUAAUAGUUAUUCAAAAAAGGUACAGCUUUUUUGAACCAAGAAACAACUUUAUUAGAAGGGCACCGAUUAUAUUCCCAAAAUGGAGUCUCCUCAGUAGGCCUAAAAGCAGCCACCUGUAAAGCAAGCGUCACAGCUCAAGACCUCCUCAACCAACAAAUUCCUAUAUAUACUCACAACCCCCUACCCAAUAUUGGAUUAUUUUAUUAACCCUAUAAAAAAAAUUAUGCUAAAAUGAGUAAUAAGGGACUACCUCCCUCCCAACACACCAGUGUAAGCCAGAAAGAAUUAAAUCACUGGCAAUUAACCGACGCCAUAACUGAGGCCCUCAUGAUAUAAAGUCACACAACAAGAAAACCUCAUCCAAACCAUCGUUAAUCCUACACAGGAGUGUCCCCAGGAAAGAUUAAAAGAAAAUAAAGGAACUCGGCAAACACAAACUCCGCCUGUUUACCAAAAACAUCGCCUCUUGCCCCACCUGUAUAAGAGGUCCAGCCUGCCCUGUGAUUUUUUUAACGGCCGCGGUAUCUUGACCGUGCGAAGGUAGCGUAAUCACUUGUCUUUUAAUUGAAGGCCCGUAUGAAAGGCACCACGAGAGUUUAUCUGUCUCUAUUUUCCAAUCAAUGAAAUUGAUCCUCUCGUGCAGAAGCGAGAAUAAUAACAUAAGACGAGAAGACCCUAUGGAGCUUCAAACACUUAAGUUACCUUACAAUCUCCCAAUUUCCUUCCCCGGACAUAAAUACAAAAAUAUUCUUCUAACUUAACUUGUUUUUGGUUGGGGCGACCAAGGGGAAAAACAAAACCCCCUUAUCGAACAUGUAAAAUGUUACUUAAAAUUAGAAUGACAGUUCUAAUUAAUAGAAAAUCUAACGAACAAUGACCCAGGAAAGACAUUUCCCGAACAAUGAACCAAGUUACCCUAGGGAUAACAGCGCAAUCCUUUCUUAGAGCCCCCAUCGCCGAAAGGGUUUACGACCUCGAUGUUGGAUCAGGACAUCCUAAUGGUGCAGCCGCUAUUAAGGGCUCGUUUGUUCAACGAUUAACAGUCCUACGUGAUCUGAGUUCAGACCGGAGCAAUCCAGGUCAGUUUCUAUCUAUGACGGUAUUUAUCCCAGUACGAAAGGACCGGAAAAAUGGAGUCCCUGCCCCAGGUACACUCCCAUCCAACCUGCUGAAAUAAACUCAAACAGGUAAAGGAUGCCCCCCACUAAGCCAAAAAUAAUGGUUC
This 1689-nucleotide ribosomal RNA is filed under the name Gymnura altavela (spiny butterfly ray). Its description in RNAcentral is "16S ribosomal RNA". It matches the Rfam family "Bacterial large subunit ribosomal RNA", at positions 207 to 2814 of the family's 2925-position model. The record is from RNAcentral. Lineage: Eukaryota; Metazoa; Chordata; Chondrichthyes; Myliobatiformes; Gymnuridae.